This 465-nucleotide ribosomal RNA is filed under the name uncultured bacterium. RNAcentral describes it as "partial 16S ribosomal RNA". It matches the Rfam family "Bacterial small subunit ribosomal RNA", at positions 339 to 795 of the family's 1533-position model. The record is from RNAcentral.
CUACGGGACGCAGCAGUGAGGAAUUUUGCGCAAUGGGGGAAACCCUGACGCAGCGACGCCGCGUGGACGAUGAAGGCCUUAGGGUUGUAAAGUCCUGUCAGCAGGAAAGAAAUGUGCAUAAGUUAAUACCUUAUGCAUUUGACGGUACCUGCAAAGGAAGCACCGGCUAGCUCCGUGCCAGCAGCCGCGGUAAUACGGAGGGUGCAAGCGUUAAUCGGAAUUACUGGGCGUAAAGGGCGCGUAGGCGGCCCUGUUAGUCAGAUGUGAAAGCCCCCGGCUCAACCGGGGAAGUGCAUCUGAAACUGCAGGGCUUGAAUAUGGGAGAGGAAAGUGGAAUUCCCGGUGUAGAGGUGAAAUUCGUAGAUAUCGGGAGGAACACCAGUGGCGAAGGCGACUUUCUGGACCAAUAUUGACGCUGAGGCGCGAAAGCGUGGGGAGCAAACAGGAUUAGAUACCCCUGUAGUC